GCCGUCCAUUGUUUCUGAUUCUCUGCUCCUCGCCGGUUUGUGAUUUUGUGAUUUAAUCUCUGCUCCUCACCCUCGUUGUUUCUGAUUUUGUGAUUUUAUUUCCGAUUUUGUGAUUUAAUCUCUGCUUCCUUUAAUUCUCAAAGGUAGUAGUUGCUGCGUGUAUUGGCUUUGAUGUUUGUGCAAAGGAGUUGAAGAUUGACCAGCCUUGAAGUUUGGUAAAUGUGGUGAUUCAUAUCUUCAAAAUUUGCUUCAGCCAUAUCCAGUGAGGGAAAGGUUUUGUUGUUGUCAUGAUAGGUU
Long non-coding RNA from Arachis duranensis, 297 nucleotides. RefSeq lists it as uncharacterized. The transcript is spliced from 3 exons. Lineage: Eukaryota; Viridiplantae; Streptophyta; Magnoliopsida; Fabales; Fabaceae. The record is from RefSeq and is a predicted model, not a curated record.